GCAUUUUAAAAGAUGUUUACAUUUAAUCAGUACUUUACACAGUUAGACACCAUGAAAAAGUAGUCUUCACUUUAAAAUGAUUAUGAUGGUAUGCUAAGUGUUCCAUAGUGUAUCAUUAUUGAAAGUGAAUAAGCAC
This 136-nucleotide small nucleolar RNA is filed under the name Castor canadensis (American beaver). Its description in RNAcentral is "Small nucleolar RNA SNORA15 (ENSCCNG00000002768.1)". It matches the Rfam family "Small nucleolar RNA SNORA15". Rfam says of the family: ACA15 is a member of the H/ACA class of snoRNA that guide the sites of modification of uridines to pseudouridines. The record is from Rfam by way of RNAcentral. Lineage: Eukaryota; Metazoa; Chordata; Mammalia; Rodentia; Castoridae.